RNAcentral lists this long non-coding RNA (8803 nucleotides) under Elaeis guineensis (African oil palm). RNAcentral's name for it is "long non-coding RNA (EGUI_LNC021039)". Lineage: Eukaryota; Viridiplantae; Streptophyta; Magnoliopsida; Arecales; Arecaceae. The record is from RNAcentral.
AUUGACAGGGUCAUAUAUAACGUAGAAAGAGUGGAUGAAGUCAAGGGGUGCUUUCAAGGCUUUAUAUGACUGAAUUUAUAUUUGGGACUUAAAAGAAGGGUGUCCCACUGCAUGUGGCUCCUGCCACUGCAGAAUCUGGGGAGGCUCAGAUUUGCAAUCCUUAUCUCCGAGUGCAAAGAGGCUCUUUCCAUGUUUCGAACCAUGACAUCCAUAUCAAAAGUUGGAGCAACCUUUCCAUUGUGCUAAGGUCUGCUCUCUGUGUGUGGGAUUUAACUGGAAUAAUUUAUUAAGAUGUCAGUAGCAUACACAAUGUUGUUUUGUUUCAAAAUAUUAAGCACCAGGCACAGAAGAUGACAUAGUUGGGAUGAUAAUGCUAAGGUAGAUGCACAGUAUAAUGCAGGAGGACAUGGUGAGAAUAGAUUACAGUAGAUGAAGCAUAAGUUGCACCUCAUGGAUGAACUGGUGAAAAACUGAUUGACAUAUUACAAGCUUCUGUGAUGGUGAUCUGAUGAGCUUCUUAUGGGGAGAGGGGAUUAUAUUUGUAGUAAAUUUGUUUUAGAAAGAAGACAGAGAUCUAAGAUCAACUUGGAUGAAAGUUGUGAUUUUGGAUUCAUAGAAGUUGGUGGUGAUGAUCCAUGUGGCCCAUACUACCAGAAAUUGUUUCAGUGAUAUCACAGUGGGGAAAUCCUUGUUGGUUAUAGACCUCAUGCGUUUUCACAUCAGUGGAAGUUCGAGCAGUAGCCUAGUGCACUUGUACUUAAUUUCAUGGACAAUAUACUCAUUGGUUACUAGAGGACAUUUUAUUUUUCAAAAGAUUUACUAAGAUAUCUGUUGAGGUAGGUCCUCGUCACUUAACCGACCUCAUCCAACCGACCUCGAUCGGAGGCCCACCUCGGAAAAAGCCGACCUCAUUAGAAGACCGUGGUCCCCAGGAGGCCGACCUUGUCUGAAAACUGAGGUCGGUGAUAGUCCAACUUCAAUAUCACCUGGAUGUAGUGGGUCCAAGUUGAAGACUACAUCGGCCAACGACCGGCUUGUUUCUACAGUGGCUUCAGCGAGAAACUGACGUCAGCUGUCUACGGUGUUUGAUACUUCAGAUCGGACAUCUACCGACCUGACCUUCCAACCCUACUCGACGAGCCCAGAAUUGCUGGCACAUGGUGUACUCAUCUUGGAUUGCUUUUAACCCCUUUCAUCUUGCCUCGGCUAAUGGCCGAUCUGGAUAUCGACAUCGACCAAACUACUAGAGGUCAAGUGAGGCCGUCAUGCAGUCAUAUCGAGUCAUAUCAAGCCACGUCAUCCUGAGGUCAUACCCUAAGCGGUCUGCUCCGUGUCGUGAUAGGACACCACAGAGUCAUUAAUUGUACCAUGCACGUGCAAUGAGGCCCACCGCUGUAACCAUCGGUGCUCCAGACAAAAGGCAUGCCCGCUGAUAGGGCCAUUUAAAGAUACCCCCAUGUGGCUUUUUAUGAUUGGACGUUAUCGGAAUACAUUCCCAUCCUUUCGUCCUUCAUCCUGCUCUCUCUAUAAAUGGAGACAAGAGAAGAAUCCCAGGAGGUACGCGCGCUCAAACACUCAGAGUCCGAAACUCUACCUCAUUCGCUUCUCCAUUUCUUGAGUUGAAAAUUAACUUGAGCGUCAGAGUGUCUUUGUCGGAGCCAUCUCCGGCAUGGGCUUUUCUUGUAGGUCUCUCUACUGCCACCGGACGCCGCCGGCUGACCUUUUCGUCCGGUCCGAGUUGACCUUACUCCCGUUCAGUGUAUUGUGAGCCCUCAUUCUCGUUCUCGGCCCUCUCGACUGUGACCUCUCUUUGGCGAGCGAUCCUUCUUCACCUGUUUUCUAUCGUUCAACACUCAAGCAUGACGAUCCGACUACCCCACCCGAGACAAGCUACAACAGCUUGGUGUGCCAGGAAGGGGAAAGGAGAAAAUCCUUCCAGGAGUCAUAAUGGUCAAGACAAAAGUGCAAAAUGCUUCCUUCAGUUUCGCUCGACGCUCAUCGCAGCGUGACACGCUUUCGACGAUCUUCGAGGAGCCGAGUGCCUCACAAUCGGAGUAAAUAGUGGACCAGCAACAUCUUGCCGUCUUGGUACAGCAAGUUAGAGCACUGAUGGAGGUUGUCCAUAGUCUCUAGCAGACUGUGAAGCAAUAGCAAUAACAGCAAUGGCGGACAGAUGAUUCGGUGCCGCGGGACGUGCCCUCUAGGUAGAGUCCCCGGCUCCGUUCUCCAUCUUGCCACUUGUCUCGACGCUCCCACCAGAUGGCUUCUCAACCCAUCCGACGAUUGCCGUAGGCUGACUCUCGACGCAAUCUAUAUGUCACUUCUAACGAUCGCUGGUCUCCUUCCUCUCGACGAGCUUCACACAAGAGAAAAAAGCCAUGAUCUCCGUCAAAGUCUUCUAGGGAAGGUUCUACCCUCGGAUAUUCCAAGCACCUCGAUGAAUCUCAACGGCGGCUGGAUGAAUACGACCUCAAGCUGAAGGAGUUUGAUCGAUGCUUGAAUCAGCUCCAAGCGAACAAUCAAGAUUUUAUCAGUGAGCUUGACGUCAGCUCCCGUCUGCCCUUCUCUCGACGAAUUUUUGAUGAAUCAAUUUCAGAUCGGUUCAAGAUGCCGCACGUGGAACCGUACGACGGCUUCACUGAUUCGCUCGACCACCUCGAGAGCUACAAAGCUCUCAUGCUUGUUCAGGGGGCAUCGACGCCCUCCUCUGCAUCACCUUCCCGAUCAUCCUCAAGAAGAUCACUCGGAUAUGGUACUCCGGACUUCAAUCAAGAAGUAUCCAUUCGGACUUCAAUCAGGGAGUAUCCAUUCGUUCGACCAGCUCGGACAGCUUUUCUUCACGCACUUCGGUAUCAAUCGGAAGGUGCCGCGGAUAUCUGACAGUCUUUUCUCUGUCAGGCAAUUAGUCGGAGAAUCUUUACGAGAUUUUGUGGUGCGCUUCAAUGCUACUACCUUGGAAGUUCGGAACCUCGACGAGUCGAUGGCCAUUGCGGCUAUGAAGCAGGGAUUACGCAGUUCCAAGUUUACCUACUCCCUGGACAAGAUGCUUUGUCGGACAUUUGUCGAACUCCUCGAGUGCGCGUAGGAUCUGAAGAAGAUCAAGAAAGAAGGAACCUCUGCGGGACCUAGCCGAGCCUGUGCUGAGUGGGAGGCUCCACCUUCCUGACCAAGCCCAAGACCAAAGAACUUUGGCUUCAGGUAUGAUUCCUACACCCCUCUAACCACUCCUCGUGCGCAAAUCCUCAUGGAGAUAGAGGGGGAGGACUACUUUCGAUGAUCCCAAUCGAUGAAGAUAAAAGCAGCAUUCCGAAAUCGGAGGUGCUAUUGUCGGUUCUAUCACGACUACGGCCACGACACCGAGAGGUGCAUCAAGCUGAAGAAUGAGAUUGAGGGUUUAAUAAGAUGGGGAUAUCUUGCAAAGUACGUGCAGGGCUGACCUACGCAGUGACCUGGUGACUCUCAGCCUAAGCCGCACUCCGACGAGGAAGUUCACACUCAACCUACGACGGGCAUGAUCAACGUGAUCUCGACGGGACCAAGACUUCAGGGAUCUAAUGACUCAAAAAGCUCCUCCAAACGUCGGCGAUUAAACGACGACAUCGUUUUCUCCGAGGAAGAUUUGCAAGAAGUCCAAACUCUUCAUAAUGAUGUUGUUGUUGUAUCAAUGAUGAUAGCUAAUUAUGAUGUUAAAUGAUGUCUUAUUGAUAAUGGAAGCUCGAUCGAUGUGAUUUUUUACUAUUGUUUUUUUCAAAUAUGACUUUCUAUUGAUCGACUUAAGUCAGUCAGCGCUCCCUUAAUCGGACUUAGGCGACUCAAUUAAGGUAGAAGGGGAGAUAAAACUUCAUGUUACUAUCGAGUGACUACCUCAACAAUUGAUCGUGCAACUCAACUUUCUUGUAGUCCGGUUUCUUCCACCUACAAUGUUAUCUUGGGGCGAGCCAAGCUGAACGAGCUCCAAGCAAUCGUCUCAAUGUAUCACUUGCUCGGGCGCUUCCCGACGAAAAAAGAAGCUGAUGAAAUGUGGGGAGAUCAGCAGCUGGCCCGAUAAUGUUAUUUAACCAUUGUCAAAGGAAAAAGGCCAGUUGAAGCUCUUUCCAUCGACGACGGACUGGACCAAAGAGAGAAAAAAAGUCGAGAACCUGCAGAGUGACUCACAUCGGUGCCCCUCAACGAGAACCCGAUCAGAACUGUUUAGGUUGGAUCUUCUUUAAGCGACGAACUGCGGGAGAAGCUAAUCAACUUUCUGAGAAAGAACGCAGAUGUCUUCGUCUGGUUUGCCUCAGAUAUGCCGGAUAUUCCAUCUGAUGUAAUUGUCUACUGACUAAAUAUCAACGCCAAGCACAUGCCAAUGAGACAAAAGAAAAGAAAUUUUGCUUUUGAGUGACAGAAGACCAUCGACGAGGAGGUCAACAGAUUGCUAGUAGCCGACUUCAUUCGCGGGACGACUUAUCCAGAUUGGCUCACGAAUGUUGUGAUGGUCAAGAAAGCUAAUGGCAAGUGGCAAAUAUGCAUUGACUACACCGAUCUGACUAAAUUUGUUCGAAGGACAGCUUUCCACUGUCCCUGAUUGAUCAACUGGUCGACGUCACGUCGGUUCAUUACCUGUUCAGCAUCAUGGAUGCCUUCUCCGGCUACAAUCAGAUUCAGAUGGCAUCGGAGGACAAGGAGAAGACGGCGUUCAUUACCAACAAAGGCUUGUACUGCUACAAAAUCAUGUCUUUUGGUCUCAAGAAUGUCGGGGCUACAUAUCAGAGAUUGGUCAACAAAGUCUUCAAGAAUCAGAUCGAUCGCAACAUGGAGAUCUAUGUUGAUGAUAUGCUCGUGAAAAGCUAGGAAGCUGUUCUCCAUAUCAACGAUCUGGCAGAAGCUUUCAACGUCCUGAGGAGACAUCGGAUGAAACUGAAUCUGAUUAAGUGUACCUUUAAUGUCACGUCAAAAAAAAUUUUUGGUUUCAUGGUGAUGAAGCGAAGCAUUGAGGCCAACCUUGAGAAGAUCAAGCCGGUUCUCGACAUGAAGCUUUCGACUUUUCGGUGGGAUAUUCAGAUGCUGGUGGGAUGCGUGGUGUCUUUGAGCCGGUUCAUCUCCAAGUCUGCAGAGCGAUGUCUCUCUUUCUUCAAAACUCUCAAGCAAAUGUACUUCAUCUGGAUGGAAGAAUGUCAAAAGGCUUUAGACGACCUGAAGCGGUACCUCAGUCCUCCACUUCUAACAAAGUCAAAUACCGACGAUGAAUUACUCAUGUAUUUGGCUGACUCCUGAAGUCGUCAACUCGGUACUUGUCCGAGAAGAAAAUAAGAUGCAGAAACCGAUCUACUACAUAAGUCGGGUGCUAUGCGGAGCGGAAGCCAGAUAUCCUUGGAUCGAAAAGUUGGUCUUCACGAUCAUCAUGACGACUCGAUGACUACGAUCUUAUUUUCAGGCCCACUCAGUGAAGAUCUUGACGACCUCCCCCUGAGGAGUCUACUUCAAUGUUAGACACUUUGGGGAGGAUGGCUAAAUAGAUGGUCGAACUCAGUGAGUUCGAUCUCUUUUAUGUUCCACGAUCCUCAAUGAAGCUCAGAUACUUGUCGACUUUCUUGUCGAGUACACUCUAACCGACGACAGUCAAGUCGAGGAUUGCUCUCAAGGAGAAACUUCAGAGCCUGCAUGGAUUUUACAUGUAGAUGGAACCUUAAACGCUCAAGGUUGUGGUGCGGGUCUUAUUUUGACCAACAUCGAUGGGAUGGUGAUUGAGUACGUCCUUCGAUUUUAUUUCAAAGCUUCUAACAAUCAAGCUGAAUAUGAAGUUCUGAUAGUCGGACUGAAAAUCGCCAAAGAUCUCGGUGUCAAAUGCCUAAGGGUGUGCACCGACUCGCAGCUGGUCGCUAGACAAUCUCAAAGAGAAUAUGAGACCCGAGAUCCAAUUCUUUUCAGAUAUCUAUAGAAACUCAGAUUUUUGCAAAUAAAUUUUGAUUAUUUCGAGGUCUACCAUAUUCUCCGCUCGAAGAAUGUUCGAGCUGAUUUUCUGUCCCGGCUCGCCACAUCUGGCUGCGGCGAGUUAGAGAGGAUCUUUAUCGAGCAUCUUGAAAAUUCAAGUAUCGACUCCGAGCAGGAAGUUCAUCAGGUUUAGGUUGGUCAUGAAUCGAGUUGGAUCGAUCCGUUCGUUGAGUUCCUGAUCAAUAGAACCUUACUGGCUGAUCCUAUCAAGGCAGGCCGAAUGAGGAGACUGGCUGUCCGAUACGUGAUCAUCGACGACCAACUCUACCGUAGAUUGGCAUCUUUGUCCCUGCUCAAGUGCCUCCGGCCUUUUGAAGCCGACUACGCUCUUUGGGAGGUGCACGAGGGCACUUGCAGCAACCACUUGGGGGGUAAGUUGCUGUCCUACAAGAUACUGCAGUAAGAAUAUUAUUGGCCGAUCAUGCAGAAGGAUGUGUCCACCUCAUACAGAAGUGAGACCAAUGUCAGAGGUUUGCCAAUGUUCAAAGACUUUCGUCAAGUCAACUCACGACCAUCUCGGCACCAUGGUCGUUCGAUCAGUGAGGAGUCGAUAUACUUGAUCUUUUUCCACCUACCAGUGGACAAAGGAGGUUCAUCAUCGUGGCCAUUGACUACUUCAUCAAAUAGAUGGAGGUCGAGCUGCUGGUGCAGAUAACAGAAAGAAAAACUACCGACUUCUUGUGGAAAUCCAUCAUGUGCCGCUUUGAUCUACCCCGAGUGAUCAUCACCAAUAAUGGCUGAUAAUUUGACAACACUAGGUUUAAGAAAUUCUGCGCAAAGUACCACAUUAUCUACAGAUUCAUCUCGGUCGGGCACCCACAAUCUAAUGGAGAAGUUGAGGUGACUAACAGGACUAUUCUAUAAGGUCUGAAGACAAAAAUUAAUCAAACCAAAGGAUGUUGGGCUGACGAACUCCCCAGUAUCCUGUGGUCUUACCGAAUGACUCCUCGGAUCUCGACGAAAGUGACCGCCUUCAAACUGACAUUCAGAACGGAAGCUGUGAUUCCGAUUGAAAUCAGCCUAACUUCGGCUCGGAUGGAGCACUGCGACAAUCAGACCAAUUCAAACAAGCGACGAGCUAACCUGGACUUGCUCGAUGAGAUCCGAACACAAGUCCAACUGAGGAUGGCUUCCUAUCAGCAAAGGGUAGCUCGGCACUACAACUCCUGAGUUGAGCCCAAGAUCUUUCAAAUUGGAGACCUAGUCCUAAGGAGAGCCAAAGUCUCCAAACCAGCCGAGCAAGAAAAGCUGUCCCCGAAUUGGAAAGAUCCCUACAAGAUUUCAGUGGUUCUACGAUCUGGAGCAUACAAGAUUGAGCCUGGAUGGUACUGAGAUUCCUCGGAUCUGGAAUAUCGAGAAUCUACGGAUGUAUUAUCAAUAGGAACACCUUGUAAAUAAAAAUUUUUCUUUCCUACAAUUUUGUGUUAAACAAUUCAACUUUCGGAGGCUUGACCCUCGACCGAAUCAGAGGUCACCUCGGCCAGGUCCGAAGUGCAACGACGGAAAACCUUGGUCAAGGACCCAGGUCGCCUCGAUGAGAUUCGAGGCACAGCAAACGACGAUGCUCCUCUACGAUGGAAUGGCCUACAACAAAAACCCUCAUCAAGGCCCCAAGUUACCUCGGUGAUUUUCGAGGUACAGUGCGGUUGAGAUCGUUGACGGGACAUGAGGUUACCUCGACAAAAUUCGAGGUACAACAGCAGUACUGACAAGACACGAGGUCACCUAGACAAUAUCCGAGGAGGAACUAAGAAAUCAACAAGCCCCUUCACAAGUUGGCCAUGCCCUUGGCAAGACCAAUUCUACGGAGGGCAGACGACUCGAGAUGUUCCUUCGACUUGGAAAACUCCUCCAGACAUCAGUGAUUUGGUAUCCAACGAGAUGUUAUUCGGUUAAUACUCAUUUAAUGGAGCUGUGGAGUCCGGCAACUAUUAGCGUGCCAACUCUGGUCGAAGGAUCGUUGGAGUAUAAGCUAUAGUUCGUAGCACAGACCCAGACGAAAUCCGACGUUAUUCGGCUAAUGCCCGUUUAACAGAGCCGUGGAGUCCGGCAACUGUUAGCGUGCCAGCUCUGACCAAAAGACCGUUGGAGUAUAAGUUACAGUUCGCAGUGCAGACCCAAGCGAAACCUGAUGUUAUUCGGCUAAUGCCCAUUUAAUAGAGCCAUAAAGUCCGGCAACUAUUAGCGUGCUAGUUUUGGCUGAAGGGUCGCUAGGGUAUAAGCUACAGUUCGCAGCGCAGAUCCAGGUAAAAAAAGUUGUGGUUAGUCGGUUUGUCCCCGAUUGAUCAAGGAUCAGUUGAUCCAAAAUGAAGCGGAGAUACGAUCAUGCUCUGCCUCAAUUACCAUGCUUCGAACUUGACGAGAUGCUCUGCAGAAUGGUGACCCACAUCUCGAAACAACAAAUCCGCUGCACGCGGCUUUCAGAGAUGGUCGUCAGAAAAAGCUACUUGAACCCAUACAUCGGUUAACUCCUUUUGCCCGAUGAACACUACGUGAUCGGACUCAGGAGUUGGGGGGUAAGUGUUGGGGUAGGUUCUCGUCACUUAACCGACCUCAUCCAACCAACCUUGAUCGGAGGCCCACCUCGGAAAAAGCCGACCUCAUGAAGACCGUGGUACCCAGAAGGCCGAUCUCGUCUGAAAACUGAGGUCGGUGAAAGUCCGACCUCAACAUCACCUGGACGUGGCGAGUCCAAGUUGAAGACUACAUCGGCCAACGAUCGGCCUGUUUCUACAGUGGCUUCGGCGAGAAACUGACGUCAGCUGCCUACGGCGCCUGAUACUUUAGAUCGGACAUCUACCGACCUGACCUUCCAACCCUACUCGACGAG